RNAcentral lists this unclassified non-coding RNA (332 nucleotides) under soil metagenome. RNAcentral's name for it is "partial contains 5.8S ribosomal RNA, internal transcribed spacer 2, and large subunit ribosomal RNA". The stretch from base 1 to 120 matches the Rfam family "5.8S ribosomal RNA", at positions 35 to 154 of the family's 154-position model. The record is from RNAcentral.
GAUGAAGAACGUAGCAAAAUGCGAUAAGUAAUGUGAAUUGCAGAAUUCAGUGAAUCAUCGAAUCUUUGAACGCACAUUGCGCCCGCCAGUAUUCUGGCGGGCAUGCCUGUUCGAGCGUCAUUUCAACCCUCAAGCACAGCUUGGUGUUGGGACUCGCGUUAAUUCGCGUUCCUCAAAUUGAUUGGCGGUCACGUCGAGCUUCCAUAGCGUAGUAGUAAAACCCUCGUUACUGGUAAUCGUCGCGGCCACGCCGUUAAACCCCAACUUCUGAAUGUUGACCUCGGAUCAGGUAGGGAUACCCGCUGAACUUAAGCAUAUCAAUAAGCGGAGGA